CGCGCGAUUAUGUGUGCGUAUUCUCUCUUAGUCGCGUGCAGUGUGUGCCUCCUCGCAGUAACAUGCCAUGUCGGCUCUUUAUUCAAAUAAUCUCUCAAUAUAAGUACACAUAUAUAUAAGUACAUACAUAUAUAUUUAUCUAUACAUAUAUAUACAUUCAAUAAAUUAAUAAAACAGUAAAACUUUAACUACAGACACAGACAGUAGUCAAAUUAAAAGAAACUGACAGUUGUCUUCCCGUGAAGAAUAUUAUAGACAAAAGUGAGGGUUUUAAAAAAUAUUUUCGCGAAUAAUCGAUCGGGCUAAGUUGACAGCAAAUCAACGUACAACGUUGUCUAGUUUGAGUUUUGCGAGUGUGUGUAUCAGGGUAUAUCAGCAGGAGCUUGGAGCUGCUACACAAACUCAAUCCACACUAUCGUACUCAGCUCAGCAGACUCUUGUACAUAUUAUUUGAGAGUUAGAGUGAUGGUGAUGGCGAUGUGAUGGUGGACAUCCGUGUGUGGGUAUUCUGAAAGACCCGAGAGCCGAGCAGAAGGAGAUAUAUGGUGGGAGUCGCAAAACUACCGAGUAAGAGAGUAAGCGAGACACCGAAGAAAGAGGAUUCAGCGCUGAGGUGAAGAGCGAGAGGACUUUUCUCGUAUCCGCUGCUGUAGUAGUGGAGUAGUCAUCGUCUUCGUCGUCGUCGUCGUCGUGUGCUUUGUGUCCAAGUGUUGUGCAUUUAUAUCUACAUAUAUGUAUUUUUUUAUCAAAGGUAGCAGCAGUAGAAGAAUAAAGAGUAGUUGUUGUACUCCCGAGUUUAGAAAAAAAGAAGAUAUAAGACACGAGACACGAGCACGACCACGACCACGACGACGACGAUAACAACGACAACAAGAGAAUCAGUACCAAAUGUACUUGCUCAACUAAAAGUAUACUCGCGAUUUAUAAAUAUUUAUCUGGAAGUGCCGGAACCAAGGUGUCAAGUGGUGAAAUAUUAAAAGGAUUUUGUAUAAAAUGAGACCGGGUGAUUUAAAAUCUGGACAGUUAUUAUUAAAUAGAUAUAUUGGAAGCUACAGUGUGUAUGGUAUAAAUUAACAACUAACUAAAACUGGUGUGUUAUGUUCCAUGUUACAUUACAUUAGUUGGGUCUAUAUUUUUGCGUGCGCUGUAUAGUAUUCUGUUUCUGUAUACAGAGUUAUACAGAGUAGACUAAAAGACGUGUGAUGGUCGCUGUUGCUGAGCGAGACUCACUGGCCGGAAAUAUAUAAGCCUUGAGAGCUAGAGUUUGCUCAGUACUCCAAUAUACAACUGAGUACAGUAGCCACCAGUAUAAUAGUGAUUUAGUUUAUUUUUUUUUUUUUUUCAUUUUUUUUUCCUUUUUUUUUUUAACUCAUGUUCUUUAUUUUUUCAAAGCUUUGUAUGAAAUGAAAGAUAUUGUGCUGAGAAUGAAUAAGAGACAUCUAAAGUUUAAGACUACACUUUUAUAUGUACAUACAUGCUUAUAUAUUAUUUAUAUAUAUACUUAUAUACGUAUACAUAUAUAUUUAUAUAAACAUGUGUGUAUAUAUAACUGGAUAGGGCUUUUGAUUUGUGUAUAAAUGUAGAUGAGUAAUAGUAGUCGUAGACUCUUUAAAUUCUAUGAGUUUUUUUUUUUUUUUUUAAUGAUUAUUCUAUGAGUAAGUUUUGUGCGUAUAUAUCGUAUCGUGUGAUAUGUGAGUUGGUCGGUGACCAGAAGGACGCGGGUAUAUAUAUAUAUAUAUAUAUAUAUAUAUAUAUAUAAAAUAUAUAUGAAGGAGGUGAGGAGAGACUAGAGAGUAGUAGUGGAUCGAGAGGGAGACUCAGUCGUGCGCGCGAGAGGGCAGUGAUCUCUCGGGGAGCGGCGACCUGACACCAACGACCGAUAGCUAUAGGAUACAUCCAUCUCGCUCUGUUGAGCAUCCCAGACUCCAUCACGAUCUUACACUUUUAAACUCAUCUGCAGAUACUCGGACCAUUCCAAGACCAAGAAGAAGACAACGUUAUAGAGUACAUUUCUUCUUUCUCAGAUCAUCACCAUGGUGCAUUUUAUCGUGGUACACAAUACUCAUCGUCUUCUUGCCCAGUGGAUCAUUCAGCACCAUCAUUUGAUCGGAUUACCAAGGUGACCUGGCAUAUACGACAGUCCAUGGGGAGUCCCGUUGAACCUGAAUUGACACCACCUGGCGAGUGGCGACGUUACACUCCCCCUGGAGAUAUAUGACACACCGUUUCAACAUAAGACGAGUUGAGAAUUCAAGACUGCUCAUAUACGCACAGUAUA
This 2278-nucleotide long non-coding RNA is filed under the name Cotesia glomerata. Its description in RNAcentral is "uncharacterized LOC123260951, transcript variant X3". The record is from RNAcentral. Lineage: Eukaryota; Metazoa; Arthropoda; Insecta; Hymenoptera; Braconidae.